AUUUAAAUAGCUUAAAUAAAGUUUAAUAAUGAAAAUAUUAAGAUGAUGAAUAAUCUUUAAAUAA
This 64-nucleotide transfer RNA is filed under the name Psyttalia concolor. Its description in RNAcentral is "tRNA-Phe". The record is from RNAcentral. Lineage: Eukaryota; Metazoa; Arthropoda; Insecta; Hymenoptera; Braconidae.